Molecule: ribosomal RNA, 391 nt
Filed under: Chrysophyceae sp.
Lineage: Eukaryota; Chrysophyceae
Description: partial small subunit ribosomal RNA
Rfam family: Eukaryotic small subunit ribosomal RNA
Source: RNAcentral
AUUCCAGCUCCAAUAGCGUAUAUUAAAGUUGUUGCAGUUAAAAAGCUCGUAGUUGAAUUUCUGGUCGUGGCGAUCGGUCCGCCCCUCACGGGGUGUGCACCUGGUCUCUACGUCCAUCCUCGGGGAGAGCGCGUCUGGCAUUCAGUUGUCGGGCGCGGGAUCCUCGUCAUUUACUGUGAGCAAAAUAGAGUGUUCAAAGCAGGCUUAGGCCGUUGAAUACAUUAGCAUGGAAUAAUAAGAUAGGACCUUGGUCUAUUUUGUUGGUUUGCAUUCCAAGGUAAUGAUUAAUAGGGAUAGUUGGGGGUAUUCGUAUUCAAUUGUCAGAGGUGAAAUUCUUGGAUUUAUGGAAGACGAACUACUGCGAAAGCAUUUACCAAGGAUGUUUUCAUCA